Molecule: long non-coding RNA, 1498 nt
Filed under: Homo sapiens (human)
Lineage: Eukaryota; Metazoa; Chordata; Mammalia; Primates; Hominidae
Description: non-protein coding lnc-C6orf201-13:1
Source: RNAcentral
UACGCAUUUGCUACAUGUAUCUUGAUGAGUUUGGAUAUAUGCAUAUGCCUGUGAUGCCAUCACCACAACCAAGUUACUAGACAUACCCAUCAAGAUGGUUGUUCAUUAUUAUUCAUUCUCACCUUUUUCCAUGACAAAACCCACAUUUUUAGUUAAGCACAGAAUUAUCUGAAAUAAAAACUAUAUAUUUGAGGGAGAGAUGGAUUUCCAUCUUGUGUAAGCCGCUGCUACUGUGGGCCUCUGCUUCUGGCCAAACCUGAUCUCAACUGAUAGCAUGGAAAACAGCAGAUGGAGAAGUUGCCAGAGAGUUUGAACAGAGGAAAGACGGUGUCAUGGAGACAAAGAAGGGCAGAAUUUCAGAAAGGAGGUGACCUACAAUGUGAAAGACGAUGAGAUCUGAGGACAAAGAUUAAACAUCUCCAAGGCCUAGCCCCUUGCCUGGCAAAAUAACAGGAGCUCAAUUAAACACACGAAUGAAGUUUCUCCUUACAGUUCUAGCACAAUCUUUUUGAUGUUCUGCUUAGUUUGCUCCUUGUGUGAGAGGGAGAGACUUUCUGAUGCUGUUCCUGGCUUCUCAGUGUUUUCAUCUAAAAAGUAAUGAUGAAGAGGAGAGAUCAGAAGGUGGAAUUUCUACAUAAUAUCUAUCUGGUUGGGUGAACUGUGUCUUACUUAAUUCCUCAUUCACUCAUGGAGGGCACAAGGGAACCAAUUAUUUUACAAGACUGUGGGUUCCCAAGGGUCUCUCAGAGCCUGGAGGAGUGCACGAGGCUUCUGAAGUUCCCCUGAGCAUUUCUCAGGGUAAAGGCAUUCUAAUAGGUACCUGUUAGAAGACUAUUUCUGAUACAGAGAAAGGGCAGCAUUCCAACCUUUCCCCACUGUACCUCCUCUCUGGCCUAACCCCUCAUUUUCUUACCCUAGUUCUCUGCCCCCAGUGAGAGCCAUUGCUCUUCCCCAACAUACCUCAGGCACCGCCCUCUAUGCCUCAGCUCAGGUGGUUUCUCCUCCUGGAUGUCCUCUGUCCCUGCCUCUCAAACACCAUCCACUCUCAGAGCCCAUGCCAAAUUCCAUCCUCUCUAGGAAGUCUUCCUGGAUCACCCAGCAGGCACUUGUUUUUCUCCCACAAUGCCUAUUGUUUCAUCUUCCUUUGAACAUCAGCACAUUCUGUCUUGUGGUGUUACUAUUAUUUUUAGAUGGGUAUUCAGUUUCCUGAAAGGAUGCUGCCUUGGGCUUCCGUAUAGCCCCUGGCUAGCUAGCAGACUGCCCUGAACAGAGAAGACAUCACUAGAUAGCAGUUGGUUGACUGAUUGCAGCAUCCUGCUCCUUAACUAUGCUUUCCUUUCACUGAAGUGGAGAACACACACACACACACACACACACACACACACACACACACACACACACACACACCAGCUACAACCAAUGCAGCCCCUGGUUUCAUAUUUUCAUGAGGGGACUUUACAACUUCUCAUCUUGAACUGUCAGGCAGACAUUCUACAAG